Molecule: ribosomal RNA, 556 nt
Filed under: Scolecobasidium ramosum
Lineage: Eukaryota; Fungi; Ascomycota; Dothideomycetes; Venturiales; Sympoventuriaceae
Description: eukaryotic LSU rRNA
Rfam family: Eukaryotic large subunit ribosomal RNA
Source: RNAcentral
GCGGAGGAAAAGAAACCAACCGGGAUUGCCCCAGUAACGGCGAGUGAAGCGGCAAAAGCUCAAAUUUGAAAUCUGGAGCCGUGCGGCUUCCGAGUUGUAAUUUGCAGAGGGAGUCUCGGAGGGCGUGUCGGCCCAAGUGCCUUGGAACAGGAUACCGCAGAGGGUGAGAGUCCCGUAUCCGGCCGACAUCGCGCUCCGUGUGAGGCCCCUUCGACGAGUCGAGUUGUUUGGGAAUGCAGCUCUAAGCGGGUGGUAAAUUCCAUCUAAAGCUAAAUACGGGCCAGAGACCGAUAGCGCACAAGUAGAGUGAUCGAAAGAUGAAAAGCACUUUGAAAAGAGAGUUAAACAGUACGUGAAAUUGUUGAAGGGGAAGCGCAUGGGGGCAGACGUGGGCGCGGGGUUCAGGGCUUCGAGAUCGGAGCGUGUACUUCCCCGCGCGCAGGCCAGCAUCGGUUCUGGGGGCCGGACAAAGGCGACGGGAACGUGGCUCUCUUCGGGGAGUGUUAUAGCCCGGCGCGCAAUGCGGCCACCUGGGACCGAGGACCGCGCUCGGCAA